CGAUGCCUAAGACAUGCAAGUCGAACGAAGUGGCCCAAUGAAGAGAGCGAGCUUGCUCAAUCUUGGAUUUGGAUUCCCACUUAGUGGCGCAAGGGUGAGUAACACGUGGGUAAUCUGCCUUCGAGUCUGGAAUAACAGUUAGAAAUGAUUGCUAAUGCCGGAUAAUAUGGAGAACGAUACGUCAUUCUUUAUUAAAAGGGGCCUUUAAAGCCUCGCUUGAAGAUGAGCCUGCGCCGUAUUAGCUAGUUGGUGGGGUAAAGGCCUACCAAGGCAACGAUGCGUAGCCGACCUGAGAGGGUGAUCGGCCACACUGGGACUGAGACACGGCCCAGACUCCUACGGGAGACAGCAGUUAGGAAUAUUCGUCAAUGGGGGAAACCCUGAACGAGCAAUGCCGCGUGAAGGAUGACGGUCCUAUGGAUUGUAAACUUCUGUUGUUAGGGAGGAACGACCUGUAUAGGAAAUGAUACAGGAGUGACGGUACCUUUCAAGAAAGCUCCGGCUAACUACGUGCCAGCCGCUGC
This 524-nucleotide ribosomal RNA is filed under the name uncultured bacterium. Its description in RNAcentral is "bacterial SSU rRNA". It matches the Rfam family "Bacterial small subunit ribosomal RNA", at positions 43 to 518 of the family's 1533-position model. The record is from RNAcentral.